AAUAAAGUCAGCUGUUUCGGUUUCUUAUUCUUCCUCCGUAGGCCUCAUCUUGUUGUUCUGCUUAUACUACCUUCCUUUUCCCUCUUUCUCCUCCCCUUGCCACAGUUAAAAUUCAUUCCUUUUGAUCUUCAAAAUUUUUUAUAUUUUGCUUGAUUUUCUAUUCCAUUUUUUUGUUAAAUUUUUUUACUUGUGCCUAUGGUUUUGUAAUCUUUUUACAGUAUAUAACCUUCACAUCCUCCAUUAACUUUGGAGUUCCCCUUCUUCUCCAUCAUCUUCAAUUUUAGUUGUGCAUCCUGAAGGAUUCAUGGAAAUUCAAGAUAGAUGGAUAGAAGUGACUAUACAUUGAAGAGUCAUGAAGAAUCAUCAUUCUACAAACAUCAAAUUAUCAACAUUGAAGGAUUGGUGGUGGCAACAAUAAUACUUAUUUAGUGAAGAUUUUAAUUUUCUUUAUUAUAUUAUUGUUGAUAGUUAUAUAUAAAAAGGCUGAAACUGAUGGCAAGUUAAGAAGAAAUAGGAGAAGUAACCAAAGUCAUAUUGUUGGAUAAUUUAUGAGAGAAUUUCCUAAUGUAUAUUGCAUACAUGUCGAGUUUAUGAAAAUCUGUUGUGAAUAGGAGAAAAUGUAUUGUUUUUACGAUC
Long non-coding RNA from Lycium ferocissimum, 636 nucleotides. RefSeq lists it as uncharacterized. NCBI's taxonomy places the organism in Eukaryota, Viridiplantae, Streptophyta, Magnoliopsida, Solanales, Solanaceae. The record is from RefSeq and is a predicted model, not a curated record. The transcript has 2 exons.